This is a long non-coding RNA of Oncorhynchus tshawytscha (Chinook salmon), 2004 nucleotides long. Lineage: Eukaryota; Metazoa; Chordata; Actinopteri; Salmoniformes; Salmonidae. The record is from Ensembl.
GGGGAGCAGAGUUAAUGGAGCAGUACUGAACUAACGGGUGGUGUUAGGGGGAGCAGAGUUAAUGGAGCAGUACUGAACUAACUGGUGGUGUUAAGGGGAGCAGAGUUAAUGGAGCAGUACUGAACUAACGGGUGGUGUUAGGGGGAGCAGAGUUAAUGGAGCAGUACAGAACUAACGGGUGGUGUUAGGGGGAGAAGACAGACUGUUGGUUUAAUGGCUGUAGACUAGAGGACUGGCUGGUGAUGAUACUCAAAGGUGAUUUCACUCUGCAUCCUCCUGCUCUCUCUCCAUCUCUUGCUCCUUCUCCCCCCAUUAUUUUCUCUCCUCUCUUCUCCUCCUUCCUUAGGGGCAGACUGGUAUAAAGUUACAGGGCUCUCAGCUUUCUUGGAAGGAAUGACCACAUGUGUAGCUUGGGGAUUAGAUUAGCAGGAAGAGCAGACUUAGCCGGACUGGAAAUAGACCACUUUUUCACUGUUAAAAAGGCCCAGUACAAUAUAAUCAAUAGACGGCACUCAUCUGCUGUGGGGAGAGGAGCAGGAAGCCAUCGGAGAAGGCCUCCCUCAAGUGCGCCGUGAAGGACUGGCUACAGGGAGCUCAUGCUUAAUGAAGUUAUUAUUAAUAAUCACUGCGAUGCCUGUUUUGGACUUGUGUUGUGUCUCUAGUGGGUGAAGUGGUCUUUAUGUACAAAACCCGAUCUGCCCUCUCUUUGUAUGUCUGGAACUUAACCACUGAUGACUAGACUUCAUUUUCUGUUAAUGUAAGUGCAUAGCACAUUAGUAAAUGCCAUAUUAAUGACCAUGUAUAUAUUAUGCUUAGCAGUUGGUUUUUAGAUAUUAGUCUAUUUUCCAUAUAUUGUAUAUCAUGGAAACUCACGAGGAAAAACAAUGUUAAAUACACACUGACACGCAUGCAAACUGCCAAAAAGAAAUGCUCCAUAAACACAUACUCCAACACACGUAUUCCACACACACACACACACACACCACCUCCUCCCUCCCAGUUUCACUCUGAGCCUCCCCACAGGUGUUGGGUUACUCUGUAAAGUAGACUGAACCGGAGCACAAAUCAGAGGGCUGUCUGUGCUCUCGCUUCCUAUUUCACUUUGAAGUUUCCCUGGCUCUCAGGGACAGGGGGCACAAAGCCUGACUCGUGUGGGGGCUUUAGCACUUUCUGCUGGGGCUGAGAGUGUGGGAAAGGAGGGGGGUGAGUGUGUGCUGUCUUUGUUGCUUUGGACCUCAGUCGCUUGAGGACUAUGUUAGCUUAGUAGCCAGAGACUGUAGAACCCACUGAGGGAGGCCAAGAGGAGGAGGGAGGAGAGUUGUUCCCCUAGUGCCCACUGAGCUAACUGACAGUCCAGGACCUGAGUGUGUGUGUGUGAGGAGGAAGGAUUAGAGAGGGUGGGGCUACAGGUCACCCCCCUCUAGUGGAAGAGCACUGGUCACCAUGGACUAGGGUCUAAGUCGACAGCUCGGCUGUUUUUCCAUCUACAGCUCAGAGUGAAAAUAAACAGUGACUUGCCAUCUUCUGAAAAGCUGAAAUAGGGUCCUUGGUGGGCUAGGGCUACAUCUGUACACACUUAAAAAUAAAAUAAACCUAGAAUGCUAUAUGGAGUGGCUACGGGUAGAGUUUCUAUAUCCCACUUUGUCCAGGCUAAAAACAUUAUCUGCCAUGUGCCCGCUCCGCUGCCUACGUAGCUGCUGUGCUGAGUGCUCCGUUGCCUACGUAGCUGCUGUGCUGAGUGCUCCGUUGCCUACGUAGCUGCUGUGCUGAGUGCUCCGUUGCCUACGUAGCUGCUGUGCUGAGUGCUCCGUUGCCUACGUAGCUGCUGUGCUGAGUGCUCCGCUGCCUACGUAGCUGCUGUGCUGAGUGCUCCGCUGCCUACGUAGCUGCUGUGCUGAGUGCUCCGCUGCCUACGUAGCUGCUGUGCUGAGUGCUCCGCUGCCUACGUAGCUGCUGUGCUGAGUGCUCCGCUGCCUACGUAGCUGCUGUGCUGAGUGUUCCGCU